AGCUCCAGUAGCGUAUAUUAAAGUUGUUGCAGUUAAAAAGCUCGUAGUUGGAUUUCUGGCUAGGCAAAGCCGACCUGGUACCUAGUAUCUCGUGUUGGACUUUGUCUGCCAUCCUUCCAGAGAAUGACACACCAUUCACUUGGCCUCUGUCACAAUCUGGAACUUUUACUUUGAAAAAAUUAGAGUGUUCAAAGCAGGCAUAUCGCUGUGAAUACAUUAGCAUGGAAUAAUAAUUUAGGACUUGUGUUCUAUUUUGUUGGUUCUAGAACGGAAGUAAUGAUUGAUAGGGAUAGUUGGGGGUGCUAGUAUUCAGCGGCCAGAGGUGAAAUUCUUGGAUUCGCUGAAGACUAACUUAUGCGAAAGCAUUCACCAAGGAUGUCUUCUUUA
RNAcentral lists this ribosomal RNA (387 nucleotides) under Pseudopirsonia sp. RNAcentral describes it as "partial small subunit ribosomal RNA". It matches the Rfam family "Eukaryotic small subunit ribosomal RNA", at positions 587 to 975 of the family's 1831-position model. Lineage: Eukaryota; Cercozoa; Imbricatea; Marimonadida. The record is from RNAcentral.